UAGAGAACUGAGCCAACCCUAGUACGAGAGGAUUGGGUUGGGACAACCUAUGGUGUACCGAUUGUUAUGCCAAUAGCAGCGUCGGACAUCUAAAUUUGGUAUGGAAGAACUACAGUGCUGCGGGAAAUCCUCCUCUAUACAAGUUCUUGGAUGAGAUUUUUGAACAGAACUUCGAUAGGCGGGAGGUGUAAGCACCCGAGGUGUGAAGCCCGUUUUUUCUGGAAUAAUCUU
RNAcentral lists this non-coding RNA (231 nucleotides) under Cephalotus follicularis. Its description in RNAcentral is "Bacterial large subunit ribosomal RNA". It matches the Rfam family "Bacterial large subunit ribosomal RNA", at positions 2655 to 2925 of the family's 2925-position model. Lineage: Eukaryota; Viridiplantae; Streptophyta; Magnoliopsida; Oxalidales; Cephalotaceae. The record is from Rfam by way of RNAcentral.